AAAAUUAAAAAUUAUUUUUAUAAAUUUGUUUUGCUUAUUUUUUAAAAUAAAAAUAUUUUUAUAAAUUAAUGGUUUUUGUAUUUUUAAAGAUAAAAUUUUAUUAAUAAAAUUUUAUUAGUAUUGAAAAAGAUUUUUGAAAAAUUAGAUUUUAUUUUUUUUUAAGUAGAUUUAAUUUAUUGUACCUUGUGUAUCAGGGUUUUUUAAAAAAAAAAUAUUAAUAGUUUAUUUUUUCUCGAAUUUAAAAGAUCUAUUUUAUUAUAAUUUUUAUUGUUGAAAAAAUAUUUUGAAUAUUAAAAUAGAAAUGAGAUGUUAUUCGUUUUUAAAUAUAUCUAGUUUUUUAAUAAAUGAAUUUAAUUCAGAUAUUAUUUUAAUAAAAUAAUUUUAUUAAUAAAUAAAUUUUUAAUAGUAUUAAUAUUUUAGGGGAUAAGCUUUAAAAUAAAAUUUUUAUAAUAAAAAUAAUAAAUAAAAUUUGUAUAGGCUUAGAAAUAGUUUUUAUUUUAAAAAUGUUAUAAUUUGUUUUUUUUAAAAAUUAAAAUUUAAUAUUUUAUUUAAAAAUUUAUUAAAAUAAUUUAUUUAAUAAUUAAUAUUAUUUGAAAUAAUGAUAAAAUUAGUAAAUAUUUAAAUGUUAGAAUAAUUAAUAAAUUAAAUGUUAGUUUUAUUUAAGGAAUUCGGCAAAAUAAAUAUACUCACCUGUUUAUCAAAAACAUGUCUUUUUGAAUUUAAUUUUAAGUCUGAUCUGCUCUAUGAUUAUUAAUUAAAUGGCCGCAGUAUCUUGACUGUGCAAAGGUAGCAUAAUAAUUAGUCUUUUAAUUUGAGGCUGGUAUGAAUGAUUUGAUGAAGUAUAAACUGUCUUUUUUAAAAUUUUAAUUUAAUUUAAUUUUUAAGUUAAAAAGCUUAAAUUUUUUUAUAGGACGAGAAGACCCUAUAGAGUUUUAUAAUUAAUUUAAUUUGAAGAUUUAAUUUAUUUUUAAAUUUGUUUAAUUAUUUUAUUGGGGCGAUAGAAAAAUUUAAUAAACUUUUUUAUAAAUUUUACAUAAAUUAAUGAAUUUUUGAUCCUUAUUUUUAAGAUUAUUAGAUUUAAUUACCUUAGGGAUAACAGCGUUAUUUUUUUUAGAGUUCUUAUUUAUAAUAAAGAUUGCGACCUCGAUGUUGGAUUAAAAUUAAUUUUAGGUGAAGAAGCUUAAAAUUUUAGGUCUGUUCGACCUUUGAAAUUUUACAUGAUCUGAGUUCAAACCGGUGUAAGCCAGGUUGGUUUCUAUCCUUAAUAAAUUAUGAAUUUUUAGUACGAAAGGACCAAAAUUUAGAAAUAAUUUUUAAAUUAAUUGAUUUUUAUUAAUAAUUAAAAUAAUUAAA
RNAcentral lists this ribosomal RNA (1353 nucleotides) under Taxoblenus sp. Its description in RNAcentral is "16S ribosomal RNA". Lineage: Eukaryota; Metazoa; Arthropoda; Insecta; Hymenoptera; Tenthredinidae. The record is from RNAcentral.